AGGAUAAUAGUUAAAAAUAACAUUUAAUUUGCACUUAAAAAGUAUUGCUACGCAAUUUAUCUU
This 63-nucleotide transfer RNA is filed under the name Acmaeodera sp. RUGACM01. RNAcentral describes it as "tRNA-Ala". Lineage: Eukaryota; Metazoa; Arthropoda; Insecta; Coleoptera; Buprestidae. The record is from RNAcentral.